GUCUUCUUUGCCUCAAAGUGUCAGUUGGCUCCUCUGAGUCACAGCUGUACAAAUCACAGGACUAUUUUUUUAAUUGGCACCAGGCAUAUACAUUAUUCAUCUAUUUGGUUUCAUCUGAAGCAAAUCAAAUAAAGAAGCACUUUUAUUUUCCAAUGAAAUAUUCAAAGCUGCUUUUUCCCCACAAGAGACUAGGCAGAAAACUCCAUCCAUGAUCUAUCACAUCUCUGCACAGCCAGCAAAGAGAUCUUGUUAUAACAGAGAUGAGAUCCCCAUCACUUCUCUGCUUAAAACUCUGUAAGGCAUUCCUCUGAACCAUGGUCCAUAUGACUUGGGAUUCCUCCUCCUUGGACAUGCUAGACUCAUUAAGCCACAGGACCUUUGCAGUUACUGUUCACUCUCCCUGAACUGCUAUUCCCCAGAUUACUUAAGGUUGGUUUUUUUUUUCUUCAUUCUCUAGCUGUUAGUUUCUAUGAUACUAUCUCAUAGAAGCCUUUUGAUGAUCCUUUCUUUAUUCACUCGAGG
RNAcentral lists this long non-coding RNA (522 nucleotides) under Heterocephalus glaber (naked mole-rat). RNAcentral describes it as "lncRNA (ENSHGLG00100042983.1)". Lineage: Eukaryota; Metazoa; Chordata; Mammalia; Rodentia; Bathyergidae. The record is from RNAcentral.